Molecule: ribosomal RNA, 301 nt
Filed under: uncultured bacterium
Lineage: Bacteria
Description: partial 16S ribosomal RNA
Rfam family: Bacterial small subunit ribosomal RNA
Source: RNAcentral
CAGCCGCCGCGGUAAUACAGAGGGUGCAAGCGUUAAUCGGAAUUACUGGGCGUAAAGCGCGCGUAGGUGGUUUGUUAAGUUGGAUGUGAAAGCCCCGGGCUCAACCUGGGAACUGCAUCCAAAACUGGCAAGCUAGAGUACGGUAGAGGGUGGUGGAAUUUCCUGUGUAGCGGUGAAAUGCGUAGAUAUAGGAAGGAACACCAGUGGCGAAGGCGACCACCUGGACUGAUACUGACACUGAGGUGCGAAAGCGUGGGGAGCAAACAGGAUUAGAUACCCCCGUAGUCCCUGUCUCUUAUAA